Molecule: ribosomal RNA, 338 nt
Filed under: Candidatus Midichloria mitochondrii
Lineage: Bacteria; Pseudomonadati; Pseudomonadota; Alphaproteobacteria; Rickettsiales; Candidatus Midichloriaceae
Description: bacterial SSU rRNA
Rfam family: Bacterial small subunit ribosomal RNA
Source: RNAcentral
ACAGAAGAAGUCCCGGCUAACUUCGUGCCAGCAGCCGCGGUAAUACGAAGGGGGCUAGCGUUACUCGGAAUUAUUGGGCGUAAAGCGUGCGUAGGCUGCUUAGUAAGUCAAAAGUGAAAGCCUUGGGCUCAACCUAAGAAUUGCUUUUGAAACUACUAAGCUUGAGUACUGUAGGGGGUAGCGGAAUUCCUAGUGUAGGGGUGAAAUUCGUAGAUAUUAGGAGGAACACCGGAGGCGAAAGCGGUUAUCUGGACAGUCACUGACGCUGUUGCACGAAAGCGUGGGGAGCAAACAGGAUUAGAUACCCUGGUAGUCCACGCUGUAAACGAUGAGUGCUA